Molecule: ribosomal RNA, 254 nt
Filed under: uncultured microorganism
Description: partial 16S ribosomal RNA
Rfam family: Archaeal small subunit ribosomal RNA
Source: RNAcentral
CACCGGCGGCUCGAGUGGUGGCCACUUUUAUUGGGUCUAAAGCGUCCGUAGCCGGCUUGGCAAGUCCCCUGGGAAAUCUGGCGGCUUAACCGUCAGGCGUCCAGAGGAUACUGCCAGGCUUGGGACCGGGAGAGGUGAGAGGUACCUCAGGGGUAGGGGUGAAAUCUUGUGAUCCCUGAGGGACCACCAGUGGCGAAGGCGUCUCACUAGAACUGGUCCGACGGUCAGGGACGAAAGCUGGGGGCACGAACCGG